This 770-nucleotide ribosomal RNA is filed under the name uncultured bacterium. Its description in RNAcentral is "bacterial SSU rRNA". It matches the Rfam family "Bacterial small subunit ribosomal RNA", at positions 57 to 801 of the family's 1533-position model. The record is from RNAcentral.
GCAGUCGACGCUUCUUUUUCCCCGGAGCUUGCUCCACCGGAAAAAGAAGAGUGGCGAACGGGUGAGUAACACGUGGGUAACCUGCCCAUCAGAAGGGGAUAACACUUGGAAACAGGUGCUAAUACCGUAUAACAAUCAAAACCGCAUGGUUUUGAUUUGAAAGGCGCUUUCGGGUGUCGCUGAUGGAUGGACCCGCGGUGCAUUAGCUAGUUGGUGAGGUAACGGCUCACCAAGGCCACGAUGCAUAGCCGACCUGAGAGGGUGAUCGGCCACAUUGGGACUGAGACACGGCCCAAACUCCUACGGGAGGCAGCAGUAGGGAAUCUUCGGCAAUGGACGAAAGUCUGACCGAGCAACGCCGCGUGAGUGAAGAAGGUUUUCGGAUCGUAAAACUCUGCUGUUAGAGAAGAACAAGGAUGAGAGUAACUGUUCAUCCCUUGACGGUAUCUAACCAGAAAGCCACGGCUAACUACGUGCCAGCAGCCGCGGUAAUACGUAGGUGGCAAGCGUUGUCCGGAUUUAUUGGGCGUAAAGCGAGCGCAGGCGGUUUCUUAAGUCUGAUGUGAAAGCCCCCGGCUCAACCGGGGAGGGUCAUUGGAAACUGGGAGACUUGAGUGCAGAAGAGGAGAGUGGAAUUCCAUGUGUAGCGGUGAAAUGCGUAGAUAUAUGGAGGAACACCAGUGGCGAAGGCGGCCCUCUGGUCUGUAACUGACGCUGAGGCUCGAAAGCGUGGGGAGCAAACAGGAUUAGAUACCCUGGUAGUCCACGCC